RNAcentral lists this ribosomal RNA (375 nucleotides) under uncultured bacterium. RNAcentral describes it as "bacterial SSU rRNA". It matches the Rfam family "Bacterial small subunit ribosomal RNA", at positions 28 to 394 of the family's 1533-position model. The record is from RNAcentral.
GACGAACGCUGGCGGCGCGCCUAAUACAUGCAAGUCGAGCGAGAAGACGUAGCAAUACGUUUGUAAAGCGGCGAACGGGUGAGGAAUACAUGGGUAACCUACCCUCGAGUGGGGAAUAACUAGCCGAAAGGUUAGCUAAUACCGCGUACGCUUCUUGGACUUCGGUUCAGGGAGGAAAGCGAUGCCGAGGGUAUCGCGCUCUUGGAUGGGGCUCAUGUCCUAUCAGCUUGUUGGUGAGGUAACGGCUCACCAAGGCUUCGACGGGUAGCUGGUCUGAGAGGACGAUCAGCCACACUGGCACUGCGACACGGGCCAGACUCCUACGGGAGCAGCAGUAAGGAAUAUUGCGCAAUGGGCGAAAGCCUGACGCAGCGA